This 468-nucleotide ribosomal RNA is filed under the name uncultured bacterium. RNAcentral's name for it is "partial 16S ribosomal RNA". It matches the Rfam family "Bacterial small subunit ribosomal RNA", at positions 28 to 507 of the family's 1533-position model. The record is from RNAcentral.
GACGAACGCUGGCGGCGUGCUUAACACAUGCAAGUCGAACGGAAAGGCCCUGCUUUUGUGGGGUGCUCGAGUGGCGAACGGGUGAGUAACACGUGAGUAACCUGCCCUUGACUUUGGGAUAACUUCAGGAAACUGGGGCUAAUACCGGAUAGGAGCUCCUGCUGCAAGGUGGGGGUUGGAAAGUUUCGGCGGUUGGGGAUGGACUCGCGGCUUAUCAGCUUGUUGGUGGGGUAGUGGCUUACCAAGGCUUUGACGGGUAGCCGGCCUGAGAGGGUGACCGGCCACAUUGGGACUGAGAUACGGCCCAGACUCCUACGGGAGGCAGCAGUGGGGAAUAUUGCACAAUGGGCGGAAGCCUGAUGCAGCAACGCCGCGUGCGGGAUGACGGCCUUCGGGUUGAAAACCGCUUUCGCCUGUGACGAAGCGUGAGUGACGGUAAUGGGUAAAGAAGCACCGGCUAACUACGUG